This 253-nucleotide unclassified non-coding RNA is filed under the name uncultured bacterium. Its description in RNAcentral is "contains 16S-23S intergenic spacer region". It matches the Rfam family "Bacterial small subunit ribosomal RNA", at positions 524 to 776 of the family's 1533-position model. The record is from RNAcentral.
GACGAAGGGUGCAAGCGUUAUUCGGAAUUACUGGGCGUAAAGGGCGUGUAGGCGGGUUUGUAAGUCAGUUGUUAAAGACCGCUCCAUAAUGGCGGAGGUGCAAUUGAAACUACAAAUCUUGAGUGCAGGAGAGAAGAGUGGAAUUCUCGGAGUAGCGGUAAAAUGCGUAGAUCUCGAGAGGAACACCGAUGGCGAAGGCAGCUCUUUGGCCUGCAACUGACGCUGAGGCGCGAAAGCGUGGGGAGCAAACAGG